UAAGUCCAAUUUAGCACACAGAGCUUCCUGCAGCUUGAUCGCAAGCAGAUAAAUUGAAGCCAGUUUUCAUACACGGCUGCAAAGCUGGUGGACUGGAAGACGCUGAUGAUGUUCAGCUUUUCCUUUUAUCCUGCUUAAUGCUACCUGCAUCACAUCUUUCCAGAGGAGAACCACGGGAGCUCAGGAGACAGGAACCCAAGUACUACAAUGCUGCUGCUACUGCCAGAACCAAGGAAGAGCUCCCAUCUCACAGCUCUGAGCAGCAAACCAUGGACGGCCAGUUUCACUACCAGGACUCAGCCAGUGUAUACAAAGGAAAGCCAGGCCAAGCUGUCUGCCAGUGGCUCAUCAUAACUUGUGGAGUUCUGGCAGCAGCCUUGAAGGUAGUCUCCCCCUGGCAUACCUCACUAUGUGGGCUGAGAGAGCUCUUGAUUAGGAGAUGAGGAACAACAUCUUUGAGACUGCUGAACUGUUUCCAGCUCUGUGCGAAGGAAGGAGGACCACAGCAAAAAUGCCACUUUGCAUGGUGUACAGAGGACUAGCGCUAUGGAAAGCCAUUGCAAAGGUUUUCCAGUUACAAAGGCACACAGACUCUGUACUGACAAGCCAGAGGUGUGGUAAAUUAAUAUAAAAUGCAUUAAAUUACCUGAGAAUAUCGAAAUGUUAACCCUGCGACAGACUGGCGACCUGUCCAGGGUGUACCCCGCCUCUCGCCCUAUGACAGCUGGGAUAGGCCACAUCACACAUGGCACUAAUGAUCACAGAUGGUAUCGAAACUUGACUGUGCGCUGAGGUGGCAACCCCUAACCCUACGCAAGUAAAUUAAAGUAAAUGUAUUUGGAAAAAUGUACUUCUAAAAGUUGUUUUAAUGCACCAUGUUCAUUUACUCAUGAGCUGCUGUAACAUGAAUCAAACCUUAGUCAGAUAAUUUCAAAUUCAAAGGUUGUGCGUUUGCUGAUGUCUGAGCUGACAAUGCUUUUGUGUCGUUUGUCACACAGUGUGUUGCAAGCGGAUGUCCAGCUGUUAUGUUACAGAUUUAAAGGUAGAUUUGAAGUGCUCAGUGACGCUUGAUAAACUGCAAAUUUAAAGCUUAAAUAUGAUGUCAGUUUUAAUCACAUAUUGGGUCUACGUUCAGGAGUUGCACUUCAGUUCCAUCCUGCAGUACAUCGGCCUUCACUUGCUGGAGCUGAAGUGAAGGCCGAUGGGAUGACGCCCUGAUCCAGUUCAUGUGUGAUGAGAAACAGCUCAAGUGAACUAAGUGAAGCAUUGACUUUUUUUCCUGUUCUUUUCCUCAUUUUAUCUGCCCACUGAGUUUUCAUGCCAUGAGGACGAAGAUGAUCUGUUGUUGCUGUGACUUCAACUACACACACUUCUUGUUUAAUGUUUGACCACUAGGCUGGACUGUUGAGUAUGUACAUGAAGUGUUUCUGGAACCUUUUGAAUUCAAUGGUUAAUCAUCUGUCACACAAAACCUCUGCAUGUCCUCCUUCACUACAUCAAUGAACCUCUCUGGUUUUCAUUCUUUCUGUCCUGGCUGGCAGUCCCACUCUUUUAAAAAAAUAAAAAACAUAAAAUUUGUAUAAACCUGCAAGAAGAACACACUGUACAUCAAAUAUCUUUUUAUUUUAUUUUGCUUGUUAAAUGUGAGAAUGAGGAUGCUAAUUGUUCAAGUGUAGCUUUGAUUUUGUGUGUGUGUAUGUGUGUGUGUGCAGUGAGGACAUUGCUGCGACUUUGACCACACACACUUGUUAUAUAAUGUUGGACCAGUAGGUGUCACUGUUGUCCAUGUACAUGGAGUGUUUCUGGCGUCUGGAGAAAAUCAGAAAGAUUAAUGAACUUUUUAACACUUUAUUAAAAAAUAUUAUUGAUCUUCA
This is a long non-coding RNA of Maylandia zebra (zebra mbuna), 1874 nucleotides long. RefSeq lists it as uncharacterized. The record is from RefSeq and is a predicted model, not a curated record. NCBI's taxonomy places the organism in Eukaryota, Metazoa, Chordata, Actinopteri, Cichliformes, Cichlidae.